This 180-nucleotide ribosomal RNA is filed under the name uncultured bacterium. Its description in RNAcentral is "partial 16S ribosomal RNA". It matches the Rfam family "Bacterial small subunit ribosomal RNA", at positions 339 to 511 of the family's 1533-position model. The record is from RNAcentral.
CUACGGGAGGCAGCAGUAGGGAAUUUUCGUCAAUGGGGGGAACCCUGAACGAGCAAUGCCGCGUGAGUGAGGAAGGUCUUCGGAUCGUAAAGCUCUGUUGUAAGAGAAAAACGGCACUCAUAGGGAAUGAUGAGUGAGUGAUGGUAUCUUACCAGAAAGUCACGGCUAACUACGUGCCAG